GAUUUCUGGUGUGGUGCGCUGAGUCCGCCUCGUAAGAGGUGAGUGCUUGUGUGCGCCUGCCAUAUUUCCCGAAUCGGUCAGUGUUCUGCCCUUCACUGGGUUGGAGCAUUGGUCUCGGGAUCAUUUACUUUGAAAAAAUUAGAGUGUUUAAAGCAGGCAUUUCGCUAUGAAUACAUUAGCAUGGAAUAAUAAGAUAGGACUUUGGUUCUAUUUUGUUGGUUUCUAGGACUGAAGUAAUGAUUGAUAGGGACAGUUGGGGGUGCUAGUAUUUAACGGCCAGAGGUGAAAUUCUUGGAUUCGUUAAAGACUAACUUAUGCGAAAGCAUU
This 327-nucleotide ribosomal RNA is filed under the name uncultured Eocercomonas. RNAcentral's name for it is "SSU rRNA". The stretch from base 60 to 327 matches the Rfam family "Eukaryotic small subunit ribosomal RNA", at positions 687 to 955 of the family's 1831-position model. Lineage: Eukaryota; Cercozoa; Cercomonadida; Cercomonadidae. The record is from RNAcentral.